This 369-nucleotide ribosomal RNA is filed under the name uncultured eukaryote. RNAcentral's name for it is "SSU rRNA". It matches the Rfam family "Eukaryotic small subunit ribosomal RNA", at positions 587 to 972 of the family's 1831-position model. The record is from RNAcentral.
AGCUCCAAUAGCGUAUAUUAAAGUUGUUGCAGUUAAAAAGCUCGUAGUCGAAGUUCUGGCUGGCUGCGUUUCCGGCUUCGGUCGACUCGCGGCCUAGUCAUCCGUCGGAGAACCCUUGUCGUCCUUCACUGGUCGCUUGGGGGAACCGGCACUUUACUUUGAAAAAAUUAGAGUGUUUCAGGCAGGCUAUCGCCCGAAUACUCCAGCAUGGAAUAAUGGAAUAGGACUUUGUUCUAUUUUGUUGGUUAUUAGAGCAAAGUAAUGAUUAAUAGGGACAGUUGGGGGCAUUCGUACUUAAUUGUCAGAGGUGAAAUUCUUGGAUUUAUUAAAGACGAACUAAUGCGAAAGCAUUUGCCAAGGAUGUUUUCA